Long non-coding RNA from Acanthopagrus latus (yellowfin seabream), 347 nucleotides. RefSeq lists it as uncharacterized. Lineage: Eukaryota; Metazoa; Chordata; Actinopteri; Spariformes; Sparidae. The transcript has 3 exons. The record is from RefSeq and is a predicted model, not a curated record.
UGCUGGAGGAGUCAUCUGUAACUGAAGGGAAGCGCGUGGUCUGGGUUAAACUAGGCACGCGUUGAGCUCCAUUUCUCUGAGCAAUAAUGAUGCAAUUACCGUGACCAUGACCACGGUUUCUGGCAGCCAAAAUACAUAGGGUGCAAACGCCACACCCAGGCACUGGCUUCUCCAAGCACACCCAGAACCAUUUGUGCUGUAUGUACUAUAAGAGGAGGCGCCCCACAGCUGGAAGAUACUGAUCCAAGACAAAAAUUGGCAGAUGGUUGGGAUUCAGAGAGAACAAUUAAAUUUUAAGGCAUCCAGUUUUAUUAACAGUGUUCAGAGUUAAUUUUAUCUUGUUGUAC